This 411-nucleotide long non-coding RNA is filed under the name Homo sapiens (human). RNAcentral's name for it is "HSALNT0336142". Lineage: Eukaryota; Metazoa; Chordata; Mammalia; Primates; Hominidae. The record is from RNAcentral.
GGAUUGCUAUUUCAGACGGCGGUUGCAGCAGCCGACCUGUCUCAACUCCACCACUGUAGUCAGAGAAUCAAAAGCGGUCUGAGUUGCGAGGUCAUUGGGGAGGCCCCCACCCCCACAUUACCAGUGAGGAAACUGAGACUUAAAAAAGUGACCUGACCUGGACACGGGAUUGCCUGACAUCAGAGCUGGAUUCUUAAGUUCCUGUUAGUGUUAAGGCGCUGCUCAGACUUUUAGUAAAGGUGAGCGCCAUCUACUGCCAAGUCUCACAAAAUAUUCGCAAAAUUUGAUACGGUUAUCACAUGGUAAAAAUUAGACUUUAAAAGUUGUAUUUAAUGCUGUGUUUUCAGCUGUUGUACACUUAUGUAAUUUUAAUUAUGCAAAGUUAUCCUAAUAAUAUAGGAAUAUUAAUUG